UCAAUAGCGUAUAUUAAAGUUGUUGCAGUUAAAAAGCUCGUAGUUGGACUUCUGGUGGGAGCGACCGGUCCCGCGCUCUGCGUGGGUACUUGAGUCGUCUCCGGCCAUCCUUGGGGAGAGCCAGUCUGGCAUUAAGUUGUCGGGCUGGGGAUGCCCAUCGUUUACUGUGAAAAAAUUAGAGUGUUCAAAGCAGGCUUAUGCCGCUGAAUAUAUUAGCAUGGAAUAAUAAGAUAGGACCUUGGUACUAUUUUGUUGGUUUGUGCACCGAGGUAAUGAUUAAUAGGGACAGUUGGGGGUAUUCGUAUUCCAUUGUCAGAGGUGAAAUUCUUGGAUUUCUGGAAGACGAACUACUGCGAAAGCAUUUACCAAGGAUGUUUUCAUUAAUCAAGAACGAAAGUUAGGGGAUCGAAGAUGAUUAGAUA
Molecule: ribosomal RNA, 422 nt
Filed under: Porosira pseudodenticulata
Lineage: Eukaryota; Bacillariophyta; Thalassiosirophyceae; Thalassiosirales; Thalassiosiraceae
Description: SSU rRNA
Rfam family: Eukaryotic small subunit ribosomal RNA
Source: RNAcentral